UUAUUUUAGCGGCGGACGGUGAGUAACGUGUGGGUAACCUGCUUUUACUGGGGAAUAAUCACUGGAAACGGUGACUAAUACCGCAUACGGUUCUUGGAAGGCAUCUUCUAGGAAAGAAAGGAUUUAUUCGGUAAAAAGAUGGGCCCGCAUCUGAUUAGCUAGUUGGUGAGAUAACAGCCCACCAAGGCGACGAUCAGUAGCCGACCUGAGAGGGUGACCGGCCACAUUGGGACUGAGACACGGCCCAAACUCCUACGGGAGGCAGCAG
RNAcentral lists this ribosomal RNA (268 nucleotides) under uncultured bacterium. RNAcentral's name for it is "partial 16S ribosomal RNA". It matches the Rfam family "Bacterial small subunit ribosomal RNA", at positions 87 to 354 of the family's 1533-position model. The record is from RNAcentral.